GUGCCAGCAGCUGCGGUAAUACGGAGGGUGCAAGCGUUAAUCGGAAUUACUGGGCGUAAAGCGCACGCAGGCGGUUUGUUAAGUCAGAUGUGAAAUCCCCGCGCUUAACGUGGGAACUGCAUUUGAAACUGGCAAGCUAGAGUCUUGUAGAGGGGGGUAGAAUUCCAGGUGUAGCGGUGAAAUGCGUAGAGAUCUGGAGGAUACCGGUGGCGAAGGCGGCCCCUGGACAAAGACUGACGCUCAGGUGCGAAAGCGUGGGGAGCAAACAGGAUUAGAUACCCUGGUAGUCCACGCUGUAAACGAUGUCGACUUGGAGGUUGUGCCCUUGAGGCGUGGCUUCCGGAGCUAACGCGUUAAGUCGACCGCCUGGGG
Molecule: ribosomal RNA, 372 nt
Filed under: uncultured Rahnella sp.
Lineage: Bacteria; Pseudomonadati; Pseudomonadota; Gammaproteobacteria; Enterobacterales; Yersiniaceae
Description: bacterial SSU rRNA
Rfam family: Bacterial small subunit ribosomal RNA
Source: RNAcentral